AGGCGUUCAACAUUUAACUUUAGCCGUUCUUUUAAACUAAGCUAUUUGUUAUGCAAGUAACGCUAGAAUAUAAUUUCUGCAACAUUUAAUAAUGCUUUGGUCGUAUACUAACAAAAAUCUCAGCAUUUUGAGGU
Molecule: small nucleolar RNA, 134 nt
Filed under: Drosophila willistoni
Lineage: Eukaryota; Metazoa; Arthropoda; Insecta; Diptera; Drosophilidae
Description: snoRNA:GK26531
Source: RNAcentral